RNAcentral lists this small nuclear RNA (119 nucleotides) under Microcebus murinus (gray mouse lemur). RNAcentral describes it as "U5 spliceosomal RNA (ENSMICG00000020115.3)". It matches the Rfam family "U5 spliceosomal RNA". From Rfam's summary of the family: U5 RNA is a component of both types of known spliceosome. The precise function of this molecule is unknown, though it is known that the 5' loop is required for splice site selection and p220 binding, and that both the 3' stem-loop and the Sm site are important for Sm protein binding and cap methylation. Lineage: Eukaryota; Metazoa; Chordata; Mammalia; Primates; Cheirogaleidae. The record is from RNAcentral.
AUACUCUGGUUUCUCUUCAGAUGGUAUAAAUCUUUCACCUUUUACUAAGGAUUUCUAUGGAGAGGAACAAUUCUGAGUCUUACCCCAAUUUUUUGAGGCCUCACAUCUAUCUGCAGGGA